CUUGCGUGAUCAUCUGCAGGUGUGUACGGAGUGGCAAAGCAUUUAAGCUGCCCAACAUGCAAGGCCCCAGCUGAGGUUGAAAGGGACCCUGACCAACUGGAUUCCUCAGCAAAGCAACUGCUCACAUCUGCAGCAAACCUCAUGGAGCCUGGUCUGGGGAGACAGGUGGUGUUCCUCCAGAAAAGCAGCACAGGCCACCUGACUACCUGCUGGGCCCUCCCCAAGGGGGCUUUCCACCUAUGAACUGUUAGGCAGGAAAGAAGCCACAAGCAGGUGCUAUCCCAAAUGCAAAACCACGUUUCCCUGAACGUCCUCUCACAGGGCGGUAAGGUAGGGAGGAGGAGGGAUCCUGUCGCAGUCACACUCAGAGACACAUGCAGAGACAGAUGACUGUUUGGCACAGGCUGAGAGAAAGGUGUGAGGCUUUUCCUUUAUGCUUCCAGGUGUUUGGGGGAAUGCAUAUAUACUUUUUGUAGAAAAA
Molecule: long non-coding RNA, 481 nt
Organism: Chinchilla lanigera (long-tailed chinchilla)
Lineage: Eukaryota; Metazoa; Chordata; Mammalia; Rodentia; Chinchillidae
Exons: 2
Source: RefSeq, a predicted model, not a curated record